Molecule: non-coding RNA, 912 nt
Organism: Nothobranchius furzeri (turquoise killifish)
Lineage: Eukaryota; Metazoa; Chordata; Actinopteri; Cyprinodontiformes; Nothobranchiidae
Source: RefSeq, a predicted model, not a curated record
UGCAGUCAGACACGAUUGAUGGCAUGCUGCUGUUGACCCCCAAGAGGUUCAUACAAGUGAGACCACUGGAAUUACAUGAUGUCCACACAAGGCGUACCACUGUUCUCCAUGCCCUUCCUGUCUAUCUACGUGAGGAAACCUCUGGAUUUUUGAGGACAUGUGUGGGCAUGCUCAGUUGAAGUUUCCAUCUCUGCGCGUUCAAGAUGUAAGAAAAAUAACACGAAAGAAAUGCAACAAUGAAAACUUCAAAAAGGCAUCAACAACCAAGCAAGUGGAUCCAUAAAAUGGACUGAUUUUUUUAAAGGCAUUUUUAAAAAGUCUUUCAAAAUGGACAGAAUUAACGCGUUAAACAUGUUCAGAACAGUUUGCGUUCUCAUCUUUGAUUAAUCCUGGUAAACGGGUCUGUUUUUGUUCUGUUCUAAUUCUCUCUGUUUAAUAAAUUUAAACAAAAUGACUUAGCUAUUUUAUUUAAUUUUUUUUCUCUGCAUAAAGACGAAGUAUCAGUAAAUAGUGGAAAGUAAAUGUAUUGGUAGUAAGCAAAUAGCAGAUGUUAAAUGUUACUUGCAGUAUGUGUUUAUAGAAAAAAUAGAGAUACUUAAAUGUACUAAAAGAAUAUUACGUCAAGUUUACUGUAAAGUGUACUUUCAAAACUGUAAGUAUACUCAAUUAUAUGAGAAGUACACUACAAGUAAACAUAUAUUAUUACUUUAAGUAUAAUUUUAAGUAUACAUUCAAAGAGAAAAGUAUACUCAAUUAUUUCAGAAGUACACUACAAGUAAACUUAUAAUGCUACUUAAAGUUUAUUUUUAAGUAUACUUUCAAGGGCAAAAGUUUACUCAAUUUUAUUAGAAGUAAACUUAUACUGUUACUUUUAAGUAUACUUUCAAUGAGAAAAGUAUACUCAACUAUAUC